AACGAACGCUGGCGGCAUGCCUAACACAUGCAAGUCGAACGAGACCUUCGGGUCUAGUGGCGCACGGGUGCGUAACGCGUGGGAACCUGCCCUUAGGUUCGGAAUAACUCCCCGUAAGGGGUGCUAAUACCGGAUAAUGUCUUCGGACCAAAGAUUUAUGGCCUUGGGAUGGGCCCGCGUUGGAUUAGCUAGUUGGUAGGGUAAAAGCCUACCAAGGCGACGAUCCAUAGCUGGUCUGUGAGGAUGAUCAGCCACACUGGGACUGAGACACGGCCCAGACUCCUACGGGAGGCAGCAGUGGGGAAUAUUGGACAAUGGGCGAAAGCGUGAUCCAGCAAUGCCGCGUGAGUGAUGAAGGCCUUAGGGUUGUAAAGCUCUUUUACCCGGGAUGAUAAUGACAGUACCGGGAGAAUAAGCUCCGGCUAACUCCGUG
RNAcentral lists this ribosomal RNA (433 nucleotides) under uncultured bacterium. RNAcentral describes it as "partial 16S ribosomal RNA". It matches the Rfam family "Bacterial small subunit ribosomal RNA", at positions 29 to 507 of the family's 1533-position model. The record is from RNAcentral.